CAAAUUACCUGGCAGGGGAGAUACCAUGAUCACGAAGGUGGUUUUCCCAGGGCGAGGCUUAUCCAUUGCACUCCAGAUCUGCUGACCCCUGCGAUUUCCCCAAACGUGGGAAACUCGACUGCAUGAUUUGUGGUAGUGGGGGACUGCAUUCACACCCUCCCC
RNAcentral lists this small nuclear RNA (162 nucleotides) under Echinops telfairi (small Madagascar hedgehog). RNAcentral's name for it is "U1 spliceosomal RNA (ENSETEG00000023218.1)". It matches the Rfam family "U1 spliceosomal RNA". From Rfam's summary of the family: U1 is a small nuclear RNA (snRNA) component of the spliceosome (involved in pre-mRNA splicing). The record is from RNAcentral. Lineage: Eukaryota; Metazoa; Chordata; Mammalia; Afrosoricida; Tenrecidae.